This 67-nucleotide transfer RNA is filed under the name Carinata rufipenna. RNAcentral's name for it is "tRNA-Met". Lineage: Eukaryota; Metazoa; Arthropoda; Insecta; Hemiptera; Cicadellidae. RNAcentral also lists the same sequence under 1 other name. The record is from RNAcentral.
AGAAAGAUAAGCUAAUUAAGCUUUUAGGUUCAUACCCUAAAUAUAGGAAUUAAUUUCCUUCUUUUUA